Molecule: ribosomal RNA, 253 nt
Filed under: uncultured bacterium
Lineage: Bacteria
Description: partial 16S ribosomal RNA
Rfam family: Bacterial small subunit ribosomal RNA
Source: RNAcentral
UACGUAGGGUGCAAGCGUUGCCCGGAUUUAUUGGGCGUAAAGGGCGCGUAGGCGGCUCUGCACGUUCGUUGUGAAAUCGCCCGGCUCAACUGGGCGGGGUCAGCGGAUACGGCAGAGCUUGAGCAAGCUAGGGGGCAAUGGAAUUCCCGGUGUAGUGGUGGAAUGCGCAGAUAUCAGGAAGAACACCCGUGGCUAAGGCUGUUCUCUAGUACGGUACUGACGCUGAGACGCGAAAGCGUGGGGAGCGAACAGG